UCAGAGCGAACGUUUAGCGGCGGGCCUAACACAUGCAAGUCGAACGCGAAAGGUCUUCGGACUGAGUAGAGUGGCGCACGGGUGAGUAACACGUAGGUAAUCUACCCUUUGGCGGGGGAUAACGUUCCGAAAGGAGCGCUAAUACCGCAUAAGACCACGGAGUCUCCGGACGCUGUGGGAAAAGGUGGCCUCUUCUUGAAAGCUACCACCGAAGGAUGAGCCUGCGUCCCAUCAGCUAGUUGGUAAGGUAAUGGCUUACCAAGGCGAAGACGGGUAGCUGGUUUGAGAGAAUGAUCAGCCACACUGGCACUGGAACACGGGCCAGACUCCUACGGGAGGCAGCAGUGAGGAAUAUUGGGCAAUGGGCGAAAGCCUGACCCAGCCACGCCGCGUGAGUGAUGAAGGCCCUCGGGUCGUAAAGCUCUGUGGAGAGGGACGAAAACCCUGGUUUCAAAUAGGCUCCAGGCUUGACGGUACCUCUUUAGCAAGCACCGGCUAACUCUGUG
This 506-nucleotide ribosomal RNA is filed under the name uncultured bacterium. Its description in RNAcentral is "bacterial SSU rRNA". It matches the Rfam family "Bacterial small subunit ribosomal RNA", at positions 24 to 507 of the family's 1533-position model. The record is from RNAcentral.